CAUAGCGACUAUCGUGGCAUAUCAAUAAGCGGAGGAAAAGAAACUAACAAGGAUUCCCUUAGUAACGGCGAGUGAAGCGGGAAGAGCUCAAAUUUGAAAUCUUCAAGGUUCUACCUUGACGAAUUGUAGUUUAUAGAAGUGUUUUCUGUUAGUGGAGUGGCAAAAGUUCUUUGGAAUAGGACAUCAUAGAGGGUGAGAAUCCCGUAUUUGGUCAUUCCUCCUAGCGUUGUGAUACACUUUCAACGAGUCGGAUUGUUUGGGAAUGCAGUCCAAAAUGGGUGGUAAAUUUCAUCUAAAGCUAAAUAUUGGCGAGAGACCGAUAGCGAACAAGUACCGUGAGGGAAAGAUGAAAAGAACUUUGAAAAGAGAGUUAAACAGUACGUGAAAUUGUCAAAAGGGAAGCGUUUGACACCAGUGUUGUUUUUCCGAAAAUCAAUUACGAAUGUUUUGUUUAUGAGGAGUUAUGACUUCAUCGGCUUGCUUCUCUCUUUACGAAACUUUCUUAAUGCACUUUUCGGUUAACAAGUCAACAUCAAUUUCUUUUGUUGUAAAAGGGUACGAGGAAGGUGGCUUUCUUUUCGGAGAAAGUGUUUAUAGCCUUGUACCUCUGCAAUCGGAGAGAUUGAGGUCUGCAGCGUAGAUCCUUCGGGGUUAGAUACAUUUGUGCUAAGUUAUAGCUUUUCAUAGACAACUUGUUGACUAUAUUUAGUCUUGUAGCUUACUCGCUUAUGCUAUUUUACCUACGCUUAGGAUGUUGAUAUGCAUGACUGAUAU
This 774-nucleotide ribosomal RNA is filed under the name uncultured Neocallimastigales. RNAcentral's name for it is "partial large subunit ribosomal RNA". It matches the Rfam family "Eukaryotic large subunit ribosomal RNA", at positions 22 to 640 of the family's 3401-position model. Lineage: Eukaryota; Fungi; Neocallimastigomycota; Neocallimastigomycetes; Neocallimastigales. The record is from RNAcentral.